AUGUUCUUCGUCUUUUUCCCUUCAUACAUGGACGCAGAGAAGGAGGCGGCGGCUCGUCGGACCCGCGGCUCCCAGCGGCUGGAGGAGGGGAGGAGGAGGAAGAGAACAGAGAAAGGACGGGAGGUGGAGGAGGUGGGGGAGAGGAGGCGUGGAGGGCAGCGGCACAACCAGGAAGGGGAGGGCGAGCGGGGCCAGCCGCGGAGCCGGCCAGGGGCGUCGAGGUCUGCCCUCGCCCCGAAGGCCGCCCUCGAGAGCCGCGCCUGUCAGGCCUCCGCUUCUCUCAGCCUGGGGGUCGCUUCCAGGUCGCCCCUCGCACUUGUCCCUCUGGUCUGGCGGCGGCGAGGGAGCCGGGACGGGCGGCUGUAUCCUGGGGCUGAGUCGGCGGUGGGGACGACUCAGAGGCCCAGUGAGAGCAGGGCUGCUUUGGCUGCUGUGGGGAUGAGCACCCGCCACGGCCGCGGACUGGCUUCCAUCACCGCCGGCCUGCCCCGGCCGCCAUGUUGGGAGGAAACGACGCGUCACGCAGCGGCCGAACGGCUGCAGAAAAGGAAGCGGCGGCGGCGGCGGCGCUGCUUGCCCAGAGCUGCCGAGACGUCGGAGGCAGGGGGCGGAGGGCGACGCGCGUGGAGAGGCCCGAGCCGCAGCGCUACGGCGGCCCGGCGGGGUCUCGCCGCCUCCUGCGUUCGUCUGCAGGGCGGCGUGGGGCGUGGCGGGCGCCCUGCGGCUCCGAAACUAGCCCGAGGUGCUGCUCCCGGCGGUGCAGCGACAGAACCAGAGACCGUGGGUCCUGCCUCUGCUCCGGCCGGAUAGGUAAGACUUCCUGGCUGCUCUGCACCUGCUUUUUGGAGAUCCGCCUAUGGGAGCACAGUCUUUCAGUUCCAAGGGUCACCAAAACACCCUGGCUCAAUCUCAACUACGCCGGGUUUCCACCUGCCGCGCCGGAUUUAAAACUCCGUUCCCAGGCACACGAAAUUGCUGUUGGGACCGAGCCUUCCGAUUGCCCCAGCGAGGAUUCUCUGUUGGGAAAAGACAAAUUACGUGACAACCACAACUUGUUUAUUUUCGACACAUGAUUUACAAGGUUUCAGACCCUAACUGGCUCCAAAGCAGAAAGAUGAAAGGACAUGGCAUAGAAAAGGUGCUCAACUCAUGGCACCCUGGAUGCAGUGCAUUGAAAAAGAGCCAGAGAAGGGAUCAGCUGCUAUGGAAUAGGUAAAGCUCCAAAGAGAGGAUCUCAUGAAGCUGAUCACGCUGGCCUCAAACCUGUGAUUCUCCUGCCUCCUGCCUUAACCUUCCAAAGAGGUUUUAAAGGAUGAAAAAUCUGGAAAGAGAGAAAAAGGAGUUAAUUAUGAGUAUUUAGGGUUGCUGAAAGAUGAACAAAUGCAUGCAGGGAGCAUCAGUACUAUCAGUGGUUCAUGCCAGCGGGAACAUGUUAGCAGAUGUCUACAGUGUUCCAUCCACCAACACAGUAAACAUUCUUAUCACAGCGUGUGAGAUUUUCUUCAAAACAGACCAGUAUUAACCUAUAAAGCACACUAAAGGAAAUGCAAAAUUAGCCCACACAUAUUUUCAGAUCACAGUGCAAUGAAACUAGAAAUCAAUGAAUGACAACAGAUCCUAUGCAAACCCAUGAAAAGUAAACAGUACACUUCUGAAUAAUCAGUGGAUCACAUAUGAAAUUAGGGAAGAAAUUAGUCUGUUCAAACAGACUAAAAAUCAAACAACAAUGACAAUAUGACAUACUGGCACCUAUGAACACAAUGAACUAGUCCUAAGAGGGAAGUUUAUAGUGGUGAAUUCUUACAUCAGAAAAACAGAGCUAGCUCAGACAAAUACCUAGUGACAUGCCUCAAUGUCCUAGCAAAAGAACAGUCCAAAUCUAAACCUAAUACAAGAAAAGAAAUUAUAAAUAUUAAAGCAGAAAUAAAUGAUAUUGAGACUUAAAAAUUACAAAGUAUCAAUGAAUUUAUGAGUUAGUUCUUUGGAAGAAUAAACAAAAUAGACAAACACUUAACAAAUCUUACCAAAAUAUGGAGAAAAAAGGACCCCAAAUCUAUGUAAUUAGAAAUGAAAGGUGAAAUCACAAUGGAUUCUACCAAAAUCCAGAAGAUCAUCAGUAACUACUAUGGGAAACUGUAUUCUAAUUAAAUGGAAAUUCAGAAGAAAUAGAUAUAUUCCUGGAUACAUAUGAAUUAAGCUGCACUAAGAAGAUACAGAAAUAUCUCCUGACUAGUCCAAUAUCACCUAAUCAUAUUGAAGAAGUAACUUUAAAAAGGCUACCAAGAAAAACCCAAAUCCUGACUGAUUCAUGCUGCAGUCUAUAAGACCUUUACAGAUCUAGUACAAAUAUCCCUCAAACUUUUUAAAAUUUAUUUUUAAAAGGGUAAGAUUAAACAGAACAAAACAGAUUAUAAGGAAGCAAUUUUAAGAAACAUGAAUUUCAAAGCAAGUCCACUGGAGAUCUUCACUGUCUUUCUCUAGUUUUCUUCCAAAUAGUUGUCCCCAUCUUCACACACGGUGAAUACAUAUUGAACAUCAUAGAACUAAUCAAGUCAUUACAGGAUGAUGAAGGCUUUUUAGGUCUUCAAGGCCUGACAUUGGGGAAGUCAAUAAUGACUACCAUAAUGUCUCUCAUUCUCUUCAUAGUAGCUGUCCUUAUCUUUAUGUAUGCUGAAAUUGAACAUAAGAGACUAGACUAAUAUCACUCUGAACAGUGAAUAAUAGUGAACAGUGAAUAUGUAUCAUACUGCUACAGAGUUAGCACUGGGUUUCUUAGUGUCUCUUCUUCAGAGUAUCUGUUCAUUACAUCAUGCAUUAUAUAAUCUGUUCCCGUAAACAGUUUAGAAAUUCUCCCCAUGUGUGAAUCUCUACAUGUAUAUCUAUCCUUUCUGUAUCAUAGGAAAAACAGAUCAUAACAAGAUAACAAAACAGAUUCCUAGAAAAACUAUGAAAUGAAAAAGACAUAUAAAACCAUAAUAUUAGGUGGUCUACCAUAGUUACUAUGCUUUUUCUUGUUAUUUUCAAUAGAAUUGUCCACGUCAUCAGGCAUAAUAUAAUUGAACAUAACAUUACAUAGCUAUUUUAAUAAAAACACAACUUUGGAGACAUUGUAGGACUUGAAAAGCAGUCAAUAAUCAAACUGGAAUGGGUAUCUUAUUACAUCUUGUCAUCUUCAGAGUAGUUGCCUCUACUCUUAGACUUGAUACUAUCAAGCAUACCAAAUUUGAAUAAAAUCGGCAAGGCAUAACAGCAGUCUAACAAACCAACUUUAAUAAGAUCAGUCAUAGUAAGACAAUGUAAGUAAUACAGGGUUUCAGUUUAAGUUAAUAGGAAAUUAAGGAUAGUUACCAUAGUAUAGCUUGCUAUUUUUGGGAUGGCUGUCUGAGCCCUCAAAUCUAGUAUGAGUAGACAGACCAGAACAAAAUAAACAGAGCGAGACUAAUGUGGCUUUUAAAUCCUGAUACACUAUUAACAAUGUUCUCUGCCUUCCUUUUUUAGGCAGUUCCUCACCUUUCCCCUUCUCCGGAUGCUUUGUAUAUUUUGGGUUCCACUAGCUCCUUUAGUUUUUACAUUAGGUGGUCAACCCAUUAUCUAUCUGAUGUUGCUGAACCUUUUUACCCCUGAGCUUGAUCUUGAGCUGUACUCCUUUAUUUACUAAAGCCACUAGGUUUUCCUUCCUUCCAGCUGUGUAAUGCUACACUGCACAGCGGUGUCAUAACUUUCCAACCUAUCUGUGGCUGCUGGAUGAGCUGUCCCUAUUUCUCUCUGGUUCCCUGUCACACAGAACAUCAUUUUCUCAUCUUUGACUUUCAGUUUAUUAACUGUCUUUCAGGUUGAGUAUAUUUCCUAUUCAGAGCAUCUCGAUGGAUCCUGCCUCCUAAUCUACUCUGCCUGUGUUUGUUAGUGUAUCAAGACUAUCUCUAUUAAAGAUUAUAGCCUACCUUCUCUGUCUCAUCUCUGCUAUUCUAUUUUUCUGCUAUUAUUUGUACACUUUUCUCCUCCAUUCCACUGUCUGCCCCAUUCAUUGAGGCCUCUCUGCCACUGUUGCUGGAAUCCUGGUAUUUUUUUUCUCUCUCUCUAGAAUGUCCUUCAGUAUUUUUUGUAGGGUUGGAUUGGUGGCCAUGAACUCCCACAGUUCCUCCUUAUCUUGGAAACAUCUUAUUUCACCAUUAAUUUUGAGGGAGAGUUUUUCAGGGUACAUCAAUCUGGGCUGGAGUUAUUUUCUUUCAAGGCUUGGAGUGUUUCCCCCCAGACUCUUCUCGAUUUGAGAGUUUGUGUUGAUAAGUCUCAUUAUUUUGAUGAUUUUUCCUUUGUAGGUGGUCAACUUCUUUUCUCUGGCCACUUUUAAUAUUCUGUUUUUGUGGUGGAUUUCUGGGAUCUUUAUUAUAUGUCUUGGUGUAGAUCUGUUUUGGUUGUAGUUGGUUGGAGUUUUGUAUGCCUCAUUUAUCUGGAUAUCAUUUUUUUUCCUAUGCUUGGGAAGUUUUCCUUAAUUAUAUCUGUGAAUAGCCUUUGUAAUUCAUUUGUGGUUACUCCUGCUUCUUCACUCACAUUUUUUAUUCUUAAGUUAUAGAUCCACUUGUCAUCUUCUAGCCUUUGAAUUGUUUCUUCCUGGUUCCUUGUUAUUUUUAAGAGAUCUUUUCUUUCAUGAUCACCAUUAUAAAUCUCUCUUCAAGUUUCAAAAGACUAACUUUAGUUUCUGUCAGGGCAUUUUGCUAGCUUUUAAUGGAGUUUUUAGUUUCCUGGUAGUCUUUUUGGAUCUGUUUCAUGUAUUCUAGAUUUUGUUUAUCUUCUUCACCAAAGGUUUCUCUUCCUUUUCUGGGUUCCUCCAUUUUUCCAUCUGUAUUUUCUUGUGAGGGGCUUAGCAUUUCUUUAAUUAAUCUUUUCAUAUCUUGCCUCACUUGGAUUAGAAUUUCAGUUUUAAGUGUAUCUAUGAGGUCAUGAAGGUAUUUCUUUAUGUCUGCUGAUGUUGUGGCUAAUAUUGCAUGAUUACUGCACUGAUUCUCUUCUGUAUUUACCUCUCCUGGGCUUAUUUUCCCAGGGUCAGUGCCUGGAGAUUUUUUCUUAUUUCUAUCUCUUGUCAUGUUUUUGGUUUCUUUCAGACAGAUGGGUAGUGGAGGUCUCUGGCCCUCUCUGUAUUGUUUAGGUGUUUCCUAAGUGUGCUGACUGAGGUUUUGCUGCCCUCUCCAAUUUGCUAUUAUCUGAGGUGCACGCAGGGUGCAUGUGGGCUGGCCCCUCACCUCUGAGCCAGUCAACUGGGAAGUACCUUCAGCAUCUUAGGCUGUGCUGUGGCAGACGUCACAGGGUUGGGACAGUUUUGUCCCUAGCUACUGGGUCCCAACCAGGGGCGUGCCUCAGCCCAAGCAGGUCCCACCAGUCCUCUGGGCCAGGGGUGGCUGACUGACACCACCAUGGCACCAGGCUCUGCCCCACUCCAAGAUGUCUUACAGCCAGCAACACCUGCAGCGGGACCCAAUUUCCAGCACUCGCCACAAACUAUUACAGUUCUCCACCUUGGCUUCACUCCACAUUGUGUCGCAUCCUCCUGCCAAGGGCCCGGGACUCACCAAUUCCCCUUAUCAGCGGCCAUGGCUUUAGCGGGACCUUGAAUCGCCCAAUUCCUCGGGGCUCCCAGCACAGUGUGGACCGGUCUCCUCCUCAAACCCUUUAAUGAAAUCGAAAGGGAAGCAGUACUCCCAAAAUCAUUCCUGGAAGCAAGCAUUAUCCUGAUUCCAAAAUCAGAAAGUGACCCAACUGAAAGAGAGAAUCACAGUCAAGUCUCUUUAUUGAAUAUAGAUACAGAAGUCCUCAAUAGAUACUGGCAAACAGAAUGCAACAAAUGAUCAAAAAGAUCAUACAUCAUGACCAAGUAGAAUUCAUCCCAGGGAUUCAGAGAUGGUUUACCAUACAUAAAUCAAUAAAUGUAGUAUACCACAUAAACAGAAACUAGAACAAAAAAUCAUAUACUCAUCUCAAAAGACACAGGAAAAGCAUUGAGCAAAAUGCAACAUUCAAUCCUGAUUUUUUAAAAACUGAAGAAAAUAGAUACAGAAAGAAGGUCUUUUAUCUCAGGCUGAUUUUAAAAAGCCAUCUAUGACAAACUAAAAACUUAUAUUAAAUGGAAAGAAACCAAAAGUUUUCCUCUAAAAAUAGAAAAUGAUACAAAGAUGUCCAUUAUCAUCACUCUUGUUCAAUGUAAUUCUCAAAGCAUUAGCCAGAGCAAUUAUACAAGAGAAAGAAACAAAAGGGAUAUAGAUAGGAAGGGAAUAAAUUAAAUUAUUAUUUUCAAAUGACAUGCUCCUGUACAUGGAAGACCUUGAAAACUUCACCAAAAGACUCCUAGAAUAAUCAAAUUUAGUAAUGUAAUAGGACACAAAGUCACCACUCAAAAAGCAAUAUAGUUUCUGUACAUCAAUAAUAAAUUCACCAAGAGAGAAAUUGGGGAAACAAUACCUUUCACAACAACAUCAAGAAAAAUGAAAUACUUAAAAAUUAACCAUGGAACUGAAAGACUGCUACAGUGAAAACUACAGUGUUGAAGCUGUUGAAGCUGAAUACAUGUGCAGAGCUGUGGCACAGCCGGGAAUGGCUGAACUGAGAGGGAGGAGAUAUCUCAGGGGGCAAGAUAGGCCAUUGCUGAGGCUGCCUAGAGACUUUCUGGACCGUUUUCCUUAAUUAGCAUCAUCUGUUGCUCUGAAGGGUCCCUGAACCCCUCCCAAGAUCUUGCUCAGGUUUCCUGGGUUUUCCACAUAACUUUUUGCUUGUUCUGAUUAAAUAUAGGCUGCCCAGGGUCAGUCAAAGUUAUGAGAUCUGCAGAGGAUUUUAGUCCUCCUGGAGCUCUAAAAAUCAUGCCGCUUGUCUCAUUCCUUUGAGCUUUUGCUGUGCAUCCAUUUGGGAGAUUGGGGAUUUAGGCACAGACUCCAACAUUACAGUACUGAAAAAAGAUUUGACUGUGGACUGAAAAGUGUACCUAAUGUGAGCUAAAAUAAACCUUCCCUUCUUCAA
This is an RNA transcript of Cavia porcellus (domestic guinea pig), 7002 nucleotides long. RefSeq lists it as uncharacterized. The transcript has 4 exons. NCBI's taxonomy places the organism in Eukaryota, Metazoa, Chordata, Mammalia, Rodentia, Caviidae. The record is from RefSeq and is a predicted model, not a curated record.